AAGGGAGUGUACUAUGGAUAAACCUGACGAUCAUGUUCUACAAGAUGUUCCCAUAGUCAUUAUCCCAUCUUUCGGAUAUUGUCGGAUAAACGACUACUCGUAUUCCAAAAAUAUUCUCAAGAGAGACUCUUAUGAGUGUAGUAUCACGUAACAAUCGUAUCAAAUCUUACAUUUGAACGACCUUCGCACUACGUCCUAAAAAUAGACCAAGAUGGGCUAGGUAAUCUAAGAUCCUUGGCUUCUAAGGUUUAU
RNAcentral lists this long non-coding RNA (252 nucleotides) under Lathyrus oleraceus (garden pea). Its description in RNAcentral is "Pisum sativum (pea) long non-coding RNA (PSAT_LNC001807)". Lineage: Eukaryota; Viridiplantae; Streptophyta; Magnoliopsida; Fabales; Fabaceae. The record is from RNAcentral.